GGCAAAAUGAGAGUUCAACUGUCUCUUACAACAAAUCAAUUAAACUGAUCUCCUAGUACAAAAGCUAGGAUUUCCUCAUAAGACCAGAAGACCCUGUGAAGCUUUAAUUAACUUAUUAGACCCUAUAAUAAUUAAUUUAGGUUGGGGCGACCUUGGAACAAAAAAGAACUUCCAAAAAAUAACUUCCUCAUAUAAAGGCAAACAAGCCAUAAUUAGACCCAGUAUAUCUGAUAAAUGAACCAAGUUACUCCAGGGAUAACAGCGCUAUCUUCUUCGAGAGCCCAUAUCAAAAAGAAGGUUUACGACCUCGAUGUUGGAUCAGGACAUCCUAGUUAUGCAACCGUCUCUAGGGGUUCGUUUGUUCAACGAUUAAUAGUCCUACGUGA
RNAcentral lists this ribosomal RNA (386 nucleotides) under Atheris desaixi. Its description in RNAcentral is "partial 16S ribosomal RNA". It matches the Rfam family "Bacterial large subunit ribosomal RNA", at positions 1998 to 2603 of the family's 2925-position model. Lineage: Eukaryota; Metazoa; Chordata; Lepidosauria; Squamata; Viperidae. The record is from RNAcentral.